UACGUAGGGUGCAAGCGUUGUUCGGAAUUACUGGGCGUAAAGCGCGCGCAGGCGGGCUUAUAAGUCGAUUGUGAAAUCCCCGGGCUCAACCUGGGAAUUGCAGUCGAAACUGUAAGUCUUGAGUGCCUAAGAGGAUGGCGGAAUUCCCGGUGUAGUAGUGAAAUACGUAGAUAUCGGGAAGAACACCUGAGGCGAAGGCGGCUAUCUGGUGGUGCACUGACGCUGAGGCGCGAAAGCGUGGGGAGCAAACAGG
Molecule: ribosomal RNA, 253 nt
Filed under: uncultured bacterium
Lineage: Bacteria
Description: partial 16S ribosomal RNA
Rfam family: Bacterial small subunit ribosomal RNA
Source: RNAcentral